AUUCAAGCUUUUCAGAGAUGUUGACUGGAUAUAGACUGUGGUGCAUUUGCAGGCUGCUUCUAAUUUGUAUCGAGGCUUGCGAAGGCGUUGUCUUGAUUUUGAAAUGGUGGGAAUGCAUAGAAAGAACUUCACCUAUGAACAGAUGCAAGCCAAAGAGAACAAUGCUUAUGAAGAUGAGCAACUGGUUCCUUUCAAUUCUAGCAGUGAUUCCUCAAGGUGCAUUGUACCUGGAAUGGGGUUGCACUUAAACUCUCUCGCAAGAAGUUUGAAUACCAGAGGCAGUACGAAUGAGACUUUGUCUUCUGGAAUAAGUCUUGACCCUUUCAACUCUCCAAUAAUUGGACAAGAACUCCUUGAAUCAUUGAAUAUAGGGACCUCUGACGGGAACUUGGAUCCCUCCGAAAACAAUGUCAAACUUGCAGAGGAUAUCUCACCAGCAUCUGCUUAUUUGGUUAACGAAGAGUUUGGCUUGGGUAGCCCCAAAAAGAAAAGGUGUGCCCCAUGGUAGUGCAUUUGUUUCAAUUUUAUGAUCUUGAAACUUAGAUAAAAAACAUCUUACUUUGUGACUUGUUCUAGGCUGAAGUUGGAAGGAGAAGCCGAGUCCUGCAAGCGUUGUAACUGCAAGAAAUCAAAGUGUUUGAAACUGUAAGUAGCCGACUAAAAUGCAAUCGUACUUGUAUACUUCUCUUCCAUUGUCAUGGCUUUUACUGAGUGUCUUAUGUAUUCUGUUGCAGCUACUGUGAAUGUUUUGCUGCUGGGGUAUACUGCAUCGAACCAUGUUCUUGUCAAGAUUGCUUCAAUAAGCCCAUUCACGAGGAUACAGUGCUAUCAACUCGUAAGCAUAUUGAGUUAGCAACCAACCGAUUCUCCCGCCUUCCCGCUUCUACUUGAAUCUCACCAUCCACCACCCAUUCCUUAAAAAGACUCAUCCUCUUCUUCUCCCCACCCGCCAGACAUCAAUCCAUGUUUUUUUAUUUACCCAAAUAAAAAAGAAGAAGAAUUAGAAGUCGAAUGUAGUUGCAGCGGAACAACCACUGUUGCAACUCUUUGCCAUGGACACUCCCCAGAAGCCCAAGGCUACUCCUCCUGCUCUCUCUAAGUUCGAGGUCAUUCUUUUCUUCUCUAUUUUUCUUCUUUUGCUGCCUUCUUACUCAACUCCGGUGAAUCUGGGCUUGUUUCUUUCCGGAUUGGGUAGAGUUGACCAAUUUAAGGGCGUUUCUGGAGAGUAGAUUUCCUAGAUGUGUAGAUCUCUAUGUUACAGAGUUUAAUCAGUCCUUUUCCAGUUUCUGACUACUCUUUCUUUCCUAAUAAUUCUUUUUGGGUGUGCUUUUGCAUUUAAGCUGUUUGUUCUAUUGCAUUUUCAUCCGGUUUGGAGUUAAGAAAUGGAUGGUUUUAGGAAUUUCAAGGUUUGCUGCGGGGCUUACCAAUUCAGUGCUUUCAGUUUCAUUCCCCACACCCCCCGGAGACCAGGUUCUUCAAAAGGUAACAAACGUACCCUCGCUGUUUUUUUUGCAACUUGGCUUUUCCUUUCCCCAUUUGGUUGGUUUAUACUUCAUGCAAAUUCAUUUUGUUUGGUUUGUUCCUUCUUCCCAGGCACAGCAACUGCCCAGAUCCAUCAAGACCUGAACAUUCUUCUGAGAAGAAACAGGAUGGUGGCAAAGAGAUUGCUGUAGAGCCCCAAGAAAAUUUCAACCAAGUGGUGUUUAUUGGAGAUGCCUCGGUUGAUCUUCCUAAGUCAUCCAAGUAUGACUGUGGUAGCCCUGAAGCCCAGCAGAACCCUCAACAACACGGUGCUUCGACAGAUUGCAUGUCUGAAGCUGUUGCGGCAUCAGAACCAGUUGAUCAAUUUACAGGAGAAGCCUCUCAUAAGUGUCAGCCUCAAGGUCUAGGGAACUACCAUACUCAACAAACUAAAGAUGGUGCAGAAUGUAGUUGGGACAGUUUGAUAGAUGCUGCUGAUCUAUUGCUAUUCAACUCCCCUACUAUCACCGAAGCUUUUAAAGCUGCGCAUAAACAUACAAUCGACCGUGCUUCAGGGAUUGCUACUUCCUUGAUUGAGGCAAACGAUCCAACUGAUUCACUUAACCAGACAGAAAUGGGAGGGCCUUCUACUCAACCCAGUGAUACUCUUCUGCCCAAGGAAGCAGAUAGUGAUAGCUGCAUGCCUAGCAAUAGUGACAAAGUACAUAAUGAGGUGAACAUUGAUCCUCUGCCCGUUUUUAGAUGAUAUGUUGUUAUGUUCAUUCCAUAUUCAAGCUUUUCAGAGAUGUUGACUGGAUAUAGACUGUGGUGCAUUUGCAGGCUGCUUCUAAUUUGUAUCGAGGCUUGCGAAGGCGUUGUCUUGAUUUUGAAAUGGUGGGAAUGCAUAGAAAGAACUUCACCUAUGAACAGAUGCAAGCCAAAGAGAACAAUGCUUAUGAAGAUGAGCAACUGGUUCCUUUCAAUUCUAGCAGUGAUUCCUCAAGGUGCAUUGUACCUGGAAUGGGGUUGCACUUAAACUCUCUCGCAAGAAGUUUGAAUACCAGAGGCAGUACGAAUGAGACUUUGUCUUCUGGAAUAAGUCUUGACCCUUUCAACUCUCCAAUAAUUGGACAAGAACUCCUUGAAUCAUUGAAUAUAGGGACCUCUGACGGGAACUUGGAUCCCUCCGAAAACAAUGUCAAACUUGCAGAGGAUAUCUCACCAGCAUCUGCUUAUUUGGUUAACGAAGAGUUUGGCUUGGGUAGCCCCAAAAAGAAAAGGUGUGCCCCAUGGUAGUGCAUUUGUUUCA
RNAcentral lists this long non-coding RNA (2770 nucleotides) under Linum usitatissimum (flax). Its description in RNAcentral is "long non-coding RNA (LUSI_LNC005354)". The record is from RNAcentral. Lineage: Eukaryota; Viridiplantae; Streptophyta; Magnoliopsida; Malpighiales; Linaceae.